GACGAACGCUGGCGGCGUGCUUAACACAUGCAAGUCGAACGGAAAGGCCCUGCUUUUGUGGGGUGCUCGAGUGGCGAACGGGUGAGUAACACGUGAGUAACCUGCCCUUGACUUUGGGAUAACUUCAGGAAACUGGGGCUAAUACCGGAUAGGAGCUCCUGCUGCAUGGUGGGGGUUGGAAAGUUUCGGCGGUUGGGGAUGGACUCGCGGCUUAUCAGCUUGUUGGUGGGGUAGUGGCUUACCAAGGCUUUGACGGGUAGCCGGCCUGAGAGGGUGACCGGCCACAUUGGGACUGAGAUACGGCCCAGACUCCUACGGGAGGCAGCAGUGGGGAAUAUUACACAAUGGGCGGAAGCCUGAUGCAGCAACGCCGCGUGCGGGAUGACGGCCUUCGGGUUGUAAACCGCUUUCGCCUGUGACGAAGCGUGUGUGACGGUAAUGGGUAAAGAAGCACCGGCUAACUACGUG
This 468-nucleotide ribosomal RNA is filed under the name uncultured bacterium. RNAcentral's name for it is "partial 16S ribosomal RNA". It matches the Rfam family "Bacterial small subunit ribosomal RNA", at positions 28 to 507 of the family's 1533-position model. The record is from RNAcentral.